UUGGGCACUCUAAUGAGACUGCCGGUGACAAGCCGGAAGAAGUGGGGAUGACGUCAAGUCCUCAUGGCCCUUAUAGGUGGGGCUACACACGUCAUACAAUGGCUGGUACAAAGGGUUGCCAACCGCAGGGGGAGCCAAUCCCAUAAAGCCAGUCGUAGUCCGGAUCGUAGUCUGCAACUCGACUACGUGAAGUCGGAAUCGCUAGUAAUCGUGGAUCAGAAUGUCACGGUGAAUACGUUCCCGGGUCUU
Molecule: ribosomal RNA, 249 nt
Filed under: uncultured Rhodoferax sp.
Lineage: Bacteria; Pseudomonadati; Pseudomonadota; Betaproteobacteria; Burkholderiales; Comamonadaceae
Description: partial 16S ribosomal RNA
Rfam family: Bacterial small subunit ribosomal RNA
Source: RNAcentral